This 301-nucleotide ribosomal RNA is filed under the name uncultured bacterium. RNAcentral describes it as "partial 16S ribosomal RNA". It matches the Rfam family "Bacterial small subunit ribosomal RNA", at positions 509 to 807 of the family's 1533-position model. The record is from RNAcentral.
CAGUAGCCGCGGUAAUACGAAGGGUGCAAGCGUUACUCGGAAUUACUGGGCGUAAAGCGUGCGUAGGUGGUGGUUUAAGUCCGUUGUGAGAGCCCUGGGCUCAACCUGGGAAUUGCAGUGGAUACUGGGUCACUAGAGUGUGGUAGAGGAUAGUGGAAUUUCCGGUGUAGCAGUGAAAUGCGUAGAGAUCGGAAGGAACAUCUGUGGCGAAGGCGACUAUCUGGGCCAACACUGACACUGAGGCACGAAAGCGUGGGGAGCAAACAGGAUUAGAUACCCGGGUAGUCCCUGUCUCUUAUAC